This 66-nucleotide transfer RNA is filed under the name Caecilia tentaculata. Its description in RNAcentral is "tRNA-Ser". The record is from RNAcentral. Lineage: Eukaryota; Metazoa; Chordata; Amphibia; Gymnophiona; Caeciliidae.
AAGAGAAAAUAACCUAGUAAAAACUGCUAACUUUGCCUACUGAAGCUAAAUUCUUCAACUCUCUUU